This 468-nucleotide ribosomal RNA is filed under the name uncultured bacterium. Its description in RNAcentral is "partial 16S ribosomal RNA". It matches the Rfam family "Bacterial small subunit ribosomal RNA", at positions 28 to 507 of the family's 1533-position model. The record is from RNAcentral.
GACGAACGCUGGCGGCGUGCUUAACACAUGCAAGUCGAACGGAAAGGCCCUGCUUUUGUGGGGUGCUCGAGUGGCGAACGGGUGAGUAACACGUGAGUAACCUGCCCUUGACUUUGGGAUAACUUCAGGAAACUGGGGCUAAUACCGGAUAGGAGCUCCUGCUGCAUGGUGGGGGUUGGAAAGUUUCGGCGGUUGGGGAUGGACUCGCGGUUUAUCAGCUUGUUGGUGGGGUAGUGGCUUACCAAGGCUUUGACGGGUAGCCGGCCUGAGAGGGUGACCGGCCACAUUGGGACUGAGAUACGGCCCAGACUCCUACGGGAGCCAGCAGUGGGGAAUAUUGCACAAUGGGCGGAAGCCUGAUGCAGCACCGCCGCGUGCGGGAUGACGGCCUUCGGGUUGUAAACCGCUUUCGCCUGUGACGAAGCGUGAGUGACGGUAAUGGGUAAAGAAGCACCGGCUAACUACGUG